This 506-nucleotide ribosomal RNA is filed under the name uncultured bacterium. RNAcentral's name for it is "partial 16S ribosomal RNA". It matches the Rfam family "Bacterial small subunit ribosomal RNA", at positions 29 to 523 of the family's 1533-position model. The record is from RNAcentral.
AGUGAACGCUGGCGGUAGGCCUGACACAUGCAAGUCGAACGGCAGCACAGGAGAGCUUGCUCUCUGGGUGGCGAGUGGCGGACGGGUGAGGAAUACAUCGGAAUCUACUUUUUCGUGGGGGAUAACGUAGGGAAACUUACGCUAAUACCGCAUACGACCUACGGGUGAAAGCAGGGGAUCUUCGGACCUUGCGCGAUUGAAUGAGCCGAUGUCGCAUUAGCUAGUGGGCGGGGUAAAGGCCCACCAAGGCGACGAUCCGUAGCUGGUCUGAGAGGAUGAUCAGCCACACUGGAACUGAGACACGGUCCAGACUCCUACGGGAGGCAGCAGUGGGGAAUAUUGGACAAUGGGCGCAAGCCUGAUCCAGCCAUACCGCGUGGGUGAAGAAGGCCUUCGGGUUGUAAAGCCCUUUUGUUGGGAAAGAAAUCCAGCUGGCUAAUACCCGGUUGGGAUGACGGUACCCAAAGAAUGAGCACCGGCUAACUUCGUGCCAGCCGCCGCGGUAA